AUGGCGCCGCUCGUGCGGGAGCUGUGGGAGAUGGAAGAGCUCGUGGAGGAGAUCCUCAUCCGCAUCCUGCCGGAGGAGCCCGCUGUACUCAUACGCGCCUCCCUCGCCUGCAAGCCUUGGUGCCGCCUUCUCUCCGGCAACGGCUUCCGCAGCCGCUACCUCACCUUGCACAGAACUCCUCCCAUCCUAGGCUUCUUACAAAGCUGGGAAGACACCGUCGAGCGCUUCGUUCCCACGACAAACUUCUGCCCCCGCAAUCCCGAUCGGCGGGAGAGUUUAGUGAUGGACUGCCACCAUGGCCGCGUUCUUCUUGAGUGUGACUGGGAUGAGGCGGAGGAUGAGAAGGAAAAUGAAGGGGAGAAAGCUGGCAAGGAGGAGGAGGAAAAACAAGAUGAUGCGGAGGAGGAAGGAGAUUUAGAUGUGGAGGAGGAGGAAGGAACCUUGAAGAUGGUCGUCUGGGACCCGGUGUCGGGAAGCCGAACGAAGUUGCGCGGUCUUGACAUCUUCGACCCUGACAUCAACGGCUCAAGCUAUCGGGGCACGGUGCUAUGUGCGUUGGAUGGCUGCAACCACGCUGCCUGCAACUUGGGCCCAUUUUUCGUGGUUUUCAUCAGCCUUGACGAGCAGGAUGAGGAUGAUGAGAUCCAGGAUGACAAUUAUAUAUGA
This 666-nucleotide ribosomal RNA is filed under the name Triticum aestivum (bread wheat). RNAcentral describes it as "partial small subunit ribosomal RNA". The record is from RNAcentral. Lineage: Eukaryota; Viridiplantae; Streptophyta; Magnoliopsida; Poales; Poaceae.